CUUAAAGAUUAAGCCAUGCACGUCUUAGAUUAAACUCGUAUGAGUGAAACUGCGAACGGCUCCAUAAAUCUGUUCUAAUCUACCGGACGAUUCUCACUACAUGGAUAACCGUAGUAAUUCUAGAGCUAAUACAUGCGUCAAGACCCGCAAGGUCGCCGUGAUUAGAUUUAACCUUCACCAAAGGUGAUUCAUAGUCACACUAGCGGAGGCGCAAGCCGCGUGCCGUCGAGGUUCAGCCCUAUUACUUUGUCGCGAGGAUAUGGUCCUCGUGAGAGUUGAUGGGUAACGGGGAAUGUGGGUUCGAUUCCGGAGAGGGAGCCUGAGAAACGGCUACCACAUCCAAGGAAGGCAGCAGGCGCGUAAAUUGUCCAUUGCUAAAGCAGCGAGACAGUGACGAGAAAUAACAGUACGAUAGCCAAUGGUUAUCAUCUGGAAUGAGUACAAUUUAAAAGCAUUAACGAGUAUCAAUUGGAGGGCAAGUCUGGUGCCAGCAGCCGCGGUAAUUCCAGCUCCAAUAGCGUAUAUAAACGUUGUUGCAGUUAAAAAGCUCGUAGUUGAACUUCUGAGCCACGUGCAUGGGCGCCACACAUGUGCCCCUCACUGUGGCUCAUCUUCGUUGUUGAACCUUGGCGGCGCAAGUCACCUUGGGGAUCGGCGUCAUUUACUGUGAAAAAAUUAGAGUGUUCAAGGCAGGCGUUACCGGUAUCCACUAGCAUGGAAUAAUAAGAUAGGACCUCGUGCUAUUUUGUUGGUUGCGGUUCGAGGUAAUGAUUAAUAGGGACAGUUGGGGGUAUUCGUAUUUAGCUGUCAGAGGUGAAAUUCUUAGAUUUGUUAAAGACGAACGACUGCGAAAGCAUCUACCAAGGAUGUUUUCAUUAAUCAAGAACGAAAGUCAGGGGAUCGAAGAGGAUUAGAUACCCUCGUAGUCCUGUACCAUAAACGAUACCGACCCGCGAUUGUCAGGUGUAUUCAAGACCCUGGCAGCAGCGAAGAAGAAAUUCCGAGUCUUUGGGUUCCGGGGGGAGUAUGGUUGCAAAGCUGAAACUUAAAGGAAUUGACGGAAGGGCACCCAAGAAGUGGGCGUGCGGCUUAAUUCGACUCAACACGAGAAAACUUACCAGGUCCGGACAAAACAAGGAUUGACAGUUUGAGAGUACUUUCUUGAUUUUUUGGUUGGUGGUGCAUGGCCGUUCUUAGUUGGUGGAGUGAUUUGUCUGGUUGAUUCCGAUAACGAACGAGACCUUCGCCUGCUAAUUAGUUCUCUCCCUACCGGGGUAUUGAGGACUUCUUAGAGGGACUCGUUGUGCUAGCAACGGGAAGUUGAAGGCAAUAACAGGUCUGUGAUGCCCUUAGAUGUUCUGGGCCGCACGCGCGCUACACUGAUCGUUCCAACAAGCGUAUUUUCUUCCCCGAAAGGGUUAGAUAAUCUUUGAACGGCGAUCGUGAUGGGGAUUGGCUCUUGCAAUUUUUAGCCAUGAACGAGGAAUUUCUAGUAAACGCGAUUCAUCAAAUCGCAUUGAUUACGUCCCUGCCCUUUGUACACACCGCCCGUCGCACCGACCGAUUGAUGCAUUCGGUGAAAUCAAUAGAUUGACGCGUAGCUUCACGGCUCGCGUUGAGAAACUGAGUGAACCAUAUGCAUUAGAGGAUGGUGAAGUCGUAACAAGGUUUCCGUAGGUGAACCUGCAGAAGGAUCAAAGGGCGAAUU
This 1708-nucleotide ribosomal RNA is filed under the name Symbiomonas scintillans. RNAcentral describes it as "SSU rRNA". It matches the Rfam family "Eukaryotic small subunit ribosomal RNA". The record is from RNAcentral. Lineage: Eukaryota; Bigyra; Bicosoecida; Bicosoecidae.